This 382-nucleotide ribosomal RNA is filed under the name uncultured bacterium. RNAcentral describes it as "bacterial SSU rRNA". It matches the Rfam family "Bacterial small subunit ribosomal RNA", at positions 30 to 417 of the family's 1533-position model. The record is from RNAcentral.
AUUGAACGCUGGCGGAAUGCUUUACACAUGCAAGUCGAACGGUAGAGGGGGCAACCCCUUGAGAGUGGCGAACGGGUGAGUAAUAUAUCGGAACGUGCCCAGUCGUGGGGAUAACGUAGCGAAAGUUACGCUAAUACCGCAUACGAUCUAAGGAUGAAAGCGGGGGAUCGCAAGACCUCGCGCGAUUGGAGCGGCCGAUAUCAGAUUAGGUAGUUGGUGAGGUAAAGGCUCACCAAGCCAACGAUCUGUAGCUGGUCUGAGAGGACGACCAGCCACACUGGGACUGAGACACGGCCCAGACUCCUACGGGAGGCAGCAGUGGGGAAUUUUGGACAAUGGGCGCAAGCCUGAUCCAGCAAUGCCGCGUGCAGGAUGAAGGCCU